GACGAACCGUGCGAACGUUUUUCGGAAUCACUGGGCUUAAAGGGCGCGUAGGCGGGUCUGCAAGUCGGAGGUGAAAGCCCGCAGCUCAACUGUGGAAGUGCCCCCGAUACUGUGGAUCUCGAGGGAGGUAGGGGCGUGCGGAACUUCCGGUGGAGCGGUGAAAUGCGUAGAUAUCGGAAGGAACACCGGUGGCGAAAGCGGCGCGCUGGACCUCUUCUGACGCUGAGGCGCGAAAGCCAGGGGAGCAAACGGG
Molecule: ribosomal RNA, 253 nt
Filed under: uncultured bacterium
Lineage: Bacteria
Description: partial 16S ribosomal RNA
Rfam family: Bacterial small subunit ribosomal RNA
Source: RNAcentral